Molecule: ribosomal RNA, 445 nt
Filed under: uncultured Desulfobulbaceae bacterium
Lineage: Bacteria; Pseudomonadati; Thermodesulfobacteriota; Desulfobulbia; Desulfobulbales; Desulfobulbaceae
Description: bacterial SSU rRNA
Rfam family: Bacterial small subunit ribosomal RNA
Source: RNAcentral
AUGUGGUUUAAUUCGACGCAACGCGAAGUAACCUUACCUAGGCUUGACGUCCCGGAAUCCUGAUGAAAGUCGGGAGUGCCCCGCAAGGGAGCCCGGAGACAGGUGCUGCAUGGCUGUCGUCAGCUCGUGUCGUGAGAUGUUGGGUUAAGUCCCGCAACGAGCGCAACCCUCGCCUUUAGUUGCCAGCAUUUAGUUGGGCACUCUAAAGGGACUGCCGGUGUUAAACCGGAGGAAGGUGGGGAUGACGUCAAGUCCUCAUGGCCUUUAUGCCUAGGGCUACACACGUGCUACAAUGGGCGGUACAAAGGGUUGCAAUCCCGCGAGGGGGAGCCAAUCCCAAAAAGCCGUUCUCAGUUCGGAUUGGAGUCUGCAACUCGACUCCAUGAAGUUGGAAUCGCUAGUAAUCGUGGAUCAGCAUGCCACGGUGAAUACGUUCCCGGGCCUU